RNAcentral lists this long non-coding RNA (2772 nucleotides) under Fragaria vesca (wild strawberry). RNAcentral describes it as "long non-coding RNA (FVES_LNC000405)". The record is from RNAcentral. Lineage: Eukaryota; Viridiplantae; Streptophyta; Magnoliopsida; Rosales; Rosaceae.
GGUAUGUUGAUUAUGCUUAACUGAAUAUAAAAUCCUACGCAUAUAUUUAAGUGUUGGCAAGAUAAGAGCAUCCUUUUCAUUUCCAUUAAUUACUGCAGGUGAAGAAUGUGCCUAUCCCAAGUGACGAGGCUGAACAACCAGCACCAAAGCCAGUCCCCAAAUCACAGACGACUCUAAGGCAUGUUAUGCUAAAAGACAUGUAGUGAAAGCUUUAUAGACAGAUAUAUCCUGCAAAAAUGAGAAAAAAUAAUACCUCUCUAAUCAGGAUUUCCUCAAUCAAUUCAUAGUCAGUAGAUUCUCUUUAUGAAUAAGAUGCAGUAUAAAUAACUGAGAAUUGAAGCUAUUAUACAGGACUACGUAUAACCAUUUUGCAUAUGCUUAUGUAACCUAUAAUGUCAUUUAAGCUAACGAGACACAAUUUAUGUGCAGCAUGAGACGCUCACAGUCCCGAUUGCAAAGGUAAAGAGUAUAAUUAGAACCCCACAAUUACCUGCUAGCUCAGUAUUUUUCUACUAAGCCACAUGAAAACUCUAACAAAUUUACCAUAUUUUCAGGUUGUUUGGAGUCUGAAUAAAGGUCAAACAAGGUAGCUUGGUUGAGAUUGCAAUUUGAGCCACCCGAAUUGCAUGCUGAACAUUUAAUUAUAAAGAAGAAAUACAGUUUGUAAUCAUUAAUUGAUGUAAUGAAUAACUUCUAAAUUCAGAAUGAAGUUUGAGGUUUCCAAACUAAAUAUAUAUCCAAUUCUUAUAGAAAUCUUCUUCCAGUGACUGAUAUCUACCCCAUGACUUGAUGAAUCUUAGUUGAGGAAAGUCACUUUCAGAUGAGCAUAUCAGUAUACUGUACUAUCCUUUCAAAGAACUAAAAUAUUACUUGGUGUUUGAACUUGAUAAAUUACCAAUUCAAUAUACUCGUUUUUGUAAACUCAUAAAACUGUUUUGUUUCUGAUACCUAGUAAACUGAGACAGAGGAUUUCCUCCCGAAAUGUAUAUAUAUAUAUAUAUAUAUAUACAGACGUUAUCAGGUGCGGANNNNNNNNNNNNNNNNNNNNNNNNNNNNNNNNNNNNNNNNNNNNNNNNNNNNNNNNNNNNNNNNNNNNNNNNNNNNNNNNNNNNNNNNNNNNNNNNGCGGACGUCUGUAUCUGAAACGGACUGUGUAUAUAUAUAUAUAUAUAGAUCAAAGUUAAUCAAAUGGUUAUUAGAAAGCCAAUUAAAUUCACAAGAAAACUAGCACAGUGCCUAAGUAAUUUUAGCUAGCUUGGUUAAAUGAUUUGCAUCCACCUCAAGCCCUUGGGGUAGGAUUAAUUUGGAGACUCUACUAAUGAAGCAAGCAGUGGAUCUAAGCUUACCUGAAAACCUGAUUAUCUAGUAGUUUUUACUACAUGAAUUCACCAUUAACCAGUUCCAACCACCAACCUCAAUAACAACAGCUAUCAGUGAAAAACUUGUGUGACUCAAUUAUCCUCACCCAUGCUUAUUUGUUAGCAUCCUAUCACACAAAAAAGAAAAAUAGGAAGAGCAAGAAGCACAUGACCAAGUGACCAUAUUACUGGAUAUCCCCCAAAUUUCAGGUAGAGAAACCAUUCCAUUCAGUACUUAACUCCCAGCAAACUGCAAAAAACGCGAAUAAAACCUACGUACCCAUAAGAUAAGCCUAAAGUAUGAAUGAUAUGCUUAUCCUCAACUAAAGAAGCGAGAUUCAUAUUCGAAAUUUGUUCAAGCUGAUAAUGAUGCAAAUCGAAUGAAUAUAUAGCAAGCUGUCUUACCAUGGCAGUUUCGUCUUUCUGCAAUCAACUUCUCAGCUCCCAGGUAAUUUGAGAUUCUUGUUCCUCCCUCCAUAUCUCUGAGUAUUUGUCUGCAAUCAGAGAAAAGUUUUACCCAUUAAGGUUAUGGUUAUCUAAGAUGAAUUGAAUAUUAACCCUGUGCUUGUUAAUCGGAUUAGGAGUAGUGAUUGAAGUUGGUUUUGUUUUUGGUAGAACUUUUAAAAGCUCAUGUUUAACGAGAUACCCUCCAACGGGUUAUCUUCAAAGAGUGAAGAAGAAAUCGCGGAGAAGAAUUUUGAUUCGGAGGAGACUGCUAUCAGUGAUAACUGCUUGCCAGCGCGCCGACGUUAUAAAACGAGAUAAAGUGAUAAUUGAAUAGUCUUAGUCUAUGAGCUCAAUUUCAUAAUUGAUUUUGUGACGGUUACUUAUCACCGAGUCAUGUCUUUGAACUGUGUACUUUAAGUAGCAACUUUUAGAUAGUGGUGUUGUUGUUUAUGGUUCAUCUAGGCGAAUCAACUUUUAGAUAGUGGUGUUGAUGCUUAAUUUUAAUAGGAAACGACAAUGAUUCAAAAAUUACAAGGUAUAAUCUCAUAACAUUAGUCGUUGGAUAUAAGGAGUAAAACAUUCUUUGGAUAGUUAUGGAUUUGUCUUAGACUUUCCUUUCUUCUACCAUGUACUUUCACAUGAGUAGAGAAAAUUUCUUAAGUUGAGUACUACUUAAGAACUUUUUAAAAAGAAAAAGAAAAAAAAAACAAAAACAAAAACAAAAGAAGAACCUUCCUAAAACAAAAGAGUGGAAAACCCCUUAACAUGUAAAAUUAUAUUCUGAUGAGUUACCUUGUUAUUCUUAAGUUGAGGACUAUUUCCGUUCCAAUCAUGUACUUUUGAACCGAGCAAAAUAAAUUAAGGGGUUCUCCGCUCUUUUAUUCUUGGGAAGGUUCUUUUCGGAAGCAAAUUUAGAGCGGAACCCUUCCCAAAACAAAAACAAAAGAAGUAUAACCAUGGAGCAAAAA